AUGGAGAGGAGCCUGGGAGCUGUGCUGGGGCUGCUGUGGGUGCAGGUUUGCUGGGUCAGAGGGAUGCAGGUGGAACAGAAUCCUCCAGCCCUGACUCUCCAGGAGGGAGCCGGCUCUGCUCUGAGAUGCAAUUUUUCUACCACCAUGAGAAGUGUGCAGUGGUUCCGACAGAAUCCCAGGGGCAGCCUCGUCAAUCUUUUUUCCCUGACUCCAGGAACAAAGGAGAAUGGGAGGUUAAAGUCAACAUUCAACUCCAAGGAGCGCUACAGCACCCUGCACAUCAGGGAUGCCCAGCUGGAGGACUCAGGAACCUACCUCUGUGCUGCUGAGGCACAGUGCUCCCAGCAAGCCUGCAGCCUGGCCCCAAACUGCAGCUGUGUGUGCAGCAACAGCCCUGCCCCAGGGAGACUCUGCAGGAGGAUUUGCACAGCUGUGGGGUUUCCAAUUUAUGCUGCAUCUCUGUCCUCUCCACUAACACAGACAGUUCAGGAUUGCUGUUUCCCGUCAGUGCACCCUUUCCUCACAGAUUCCCGUUUUCAGGAAGAAGUUCUCAUGAAGAAUACUGGGAUAACUGACAAAGAUGAUAAGGUUCACAGUGCUGUCAGGUAGACCCACUGCACAGUUUUCACUGCUCUUCAAUUAUUGUUCUACAAAGGCAUCACACAGACGUGCUCUUCAGGGAACAGAAAAGAAAUGGCCCAGUGUUUCAGUCAAUUGCAGAUCUUUCAAUUAUCCAGAAGAAUGGGACUUUUAUUAGUUUUUUUUUUUUUGAGAAUUUCAUACAAUGCACUUUGAUCAUAUUCAGUUCUCCACCAGUUCCUACCAGUCCCACCCCUCGUCCUUAC
Molecule: non-coding RNA, 845 nt
Organism: Peromyscus maniculatus bairdii (prairie deer mouse)
Lineage: Eukaryota; Metazoa; Chordata; Mammalia; Rodentia; Cricetidae
Source: the annotation of a RefSeq genome assembly